UGCAGUCGACGAACUCUGGUAUUGAUUGGUGCUUGCAUCAUGAUUUACAUUUGAGUGAGUGGCGAACUGGUGAGUAACACGUGGGAAACCUGCCCAGAAGCGGGGGAUAACACCUGGAAACAGAUGCUAAUACCGCAUAACAACUUGGACCGCAUGGUCCGAGUUUGAAAGAUGGCUUCGGCUAUCACUUUUGGAUGGUCCCGCGGCGUAUUAGCUAGAUGGUGGGGUAACGGCUCACCAUGGCAAUGAUACGUAGCCGACCUGAGAGGGUAAUCGGCCACAUUGGGACUGAGACACGGCCCAAACUCCUACGGGAGGCAGCAGUAGGGAAUCUUCCACAAUGGACGAAAGUCUGAUGGAGCAACGCCGCGUGAGUGAAGAAGGGUUUCGGCUCGUAAAACUCUGUUGUUAAAGAAGAACAUAUCUGAGAGUAACUGUUCAGGUAUUGACGGUAUUUAACCAGAAAGCCACGGCUAACUACGUGCCAGCAGNC
Molecule: ribosomal RNA, 493 nt
Filed under: Lactiplantibacillus plantarum
Lineage: Bacteria; Bacillati; Bacillota; Bacilli; Lactobacillales; Lactobacillaceae
Description: bacterial SSU rRNA
Rfam family: Bacterial small subunit ribosomal RNA
Source: RNAcentral